UGAAAUCUCCGAAGAGAUCAUUCAAACUCUCGAAGUCGUGUUUUUCAAUCUGGGUUUUCAAAUAGGAAAUUGAAGCCUGUCUAGUUUAGAUCUAUCCAUUCGCAGUCAAGAUCGACCAAGAUGAGCAGAUGUAGAUUCUUUGAGGUCCAACGAUGAAGGUGGUUUCGGGAGCGUGAUCUGGGUUCAAAUAGAAAGUGUUGUUAGCGGGAGCGGGGGGAGCCUAUCGAAGCCGCAAAUCUCAAAAUCAAGAAACAUCGAAAAUUCCGGUGGCGGAGGAGCCGACGAAGAUUGCGUCCAACAUCAACUACCACGCGAAUUUCAAGUUCGAGCCGGAGCAAGCCUACUACGCCACCAUCGAGUGCGUCUGAUCCAGAAUUGGAACGAGACGUACCUGCAUUUCCACAACAUGAAUCCGAAGCAUACUUACUACUUAAUUGUCUUUAAAGUAUCUUCAAGGACGAGCCUUGACCAAUGCUACUGGGAAGCUUUGAACAAGCUGGCAUAAGGGAGCAGAUAAUCUAGGAGUUUCGUAGUGGCCUUAAAAUUUUCAUUUUAAUGAAAAAGAUGUUGCGCUUGGGAAUGGUGGCCUGGGAAGGCUUGCUUCAUGCUUUCUAAAGUCUAUGGCGACAUUGAAUUUGUCGGCUUGGGGAUAUAGUUUGAGGUACAGAUA
This is a long non-coding RNA of Argentina anserina (silverweed cinquefoil), 670 nucleotides long. RefSeq lists it as uncharacterized. NCBI's taxonomy places the organism in Eukaryota, Viridiplantae, Streptophyta, Magnoliopsida, Rosales, Rosaceae. The transcript is spliced from 4 exons. The record is from RefSeq and is a predicted model, not a curated record.